Molecule: ribosomal RNA, 460 nt
Filed under: uncultured bacterium
Lineage: Bacteria
Description: partial 16S ribosomal RNA
Rfam family: Bacterial small subunit ribosomal RNA
Source: RNAcentral
CCUACGGGAGGCAGCAGUGAGGAAUAUUGGUCAAUGGGCGGAAGCCUGAACCAGCCAAGUCGCGUGAGGGAAGAAGGCCCUAUGGGUUGUAAACCUCUUUUGUCGGGGAGCAACGCCGGGUACGUGUACCCGCCCGGAGAGCACCUGGAGAAAAAGCAUCGGCUAACUCCGUGCCAGCAGCCGCGGUAAUACGGAGGAUGCGAGCGUUACCCGGAUUUAUUGGGUUUAAAGGGUGCGUAGGCGGGCUUUAAAGUCAGCGGUAAAAGGUCUGGGCUCAACCCCGAUCGGCCGUUGAAACUGGGGGCCUUGAGUGGGCGAGAAGUAGGCGGAAUGCGUGGUGUAGCGGUGAAAUGCAUAGAUAUCACGCAGAACCCCGAUUGCGAAGGCAGCCUACCGGCGCCCAACUGACGCUGAGGCACGAAAGUGCGGGGAUCGAACAGGAUUAGAUACCCUUGUAGUC